UUCGCAAUGCCCGAAAGGGUGACGAAGCGACGCCGCGUGCGGGAAGAAGGCCUUCGGGCUGUAAACCGCUGUCGGGAGUUAAGAAGUGCAAGGGUGUUAAUAGCAUCUUUGCUUGACUAAGGCUCCGGAGGAAGCCACGGCUAACUCUGUGCCAGCAGCCGCGGUAAUACAGAGGCGGCAAGCGUUGUUCGGAAUUAUUGGGCGUAAAGAGCACGUAGGCGGCUAUGCAAGUCGGUUGUGAAAGCCUUCCGCUCAACGGAAGAACGGCAUCCGAUACUGCAUGGCUCGAGUGCGGGAGGGGAGAGUGGAACUUCUGGUGGAGCGGUGAAAUGCGUAGAUAUCAGAAGGAACACCGGCGGCGAAAGCGACUCUCUAGCCCGUAACUGACGCUGAGUGUGCGAAAGCUAGGGGAGCAAACGGGAUUAGAUACCCCGGUAGUCCUAGCCGUAAACGAUGGGCACUAAGUAGAGGGGUUUUA
This 478-nucleotide ribosomal RNA is filed under the name uncultured bacterium. Its description in RNAcentral is "bacterial SSU rRNA". It matches the Rfam family "Bacterial small subunit ribosomal RNA", at positions 365 to 833 of the family's 1533-position model. The record is from RNAcentral.